UUUCCUACGGGAGGCAGCAGUGUGGAUURUUGCACAAUGGGGGCGCAWRCCUGAUGCAGCCAUGCCGCGUGURUGAAGAAGGCCUUCGGGUUGUAAAGUACUUUCAGCGGGGAGGAAGGGAGUAAAGUUAAUACCUUUGCUCAUUGACGUUACCCGCAGAAGAAGCACCGGCUAACUCCGUGCCAGCAGCCGCGGUAAUACGGAGGGUGCAAGCGUUAAUCGGAAUUACUGGGCGUAAAGCGCACGCAGGCGGUUUGUUAAGUCAGAUGUGAAAUCCCCGGGCUCAACCUGGGAACUGCAUUUGAUACUGGCAAGCUUGAGUCUCGUAGAGGGGGGUAGAAUUCCAGGUGUAGCGGUGAAAUGCGUAGAGAUCUGGAGGAAUACCGGUGGCGAAGGCGGCCCCCUGGACGAAGACUGACGCUCCAUUGCGAAAGGCCGUGGGGAGGCAAAAAGGAAUAGAUACCCUGGGGGUCGCUAAG
This 479-nucleotide ribosomal RNA is filed under the name uncultured Escherichia sp. RNAcentral describes it as "bacterial SSU rRNA". Lineage: Bacteria; Pseudomonadati; Pseudomonadota; Gammaproteobacteria; Enterobacterales; Enterobacteriaceae. The record is from RNAcentral.